GGCCGCCUCAUCCUGACAGGCGAAGGGGCGGGCGGUGAUGGGAGGGGGGAGAGAGGGAGAGGGACACUCUGCGCAUGCGCGGUAGGCUGAGCGCGCCCGGGCGGAGGGGAGGGUGAUUGAAGCAGGGGGAUGUCGCCUCUUCCCGCUUUACCUGGCGCGAAAUUGAAACUCGGGUGUCAUGAAAGCGGCGCGCCACAAAGAGUAAUUGUGCAUAAAAUUAUCAGUAGCCAUUAUCUAUGAAGUGUGCACGAGAUUGUGCAUACAAUUAUUAAUAACCAUUAUCUAUGAAGUAUCAAUAACGGGAUUGUACAUAAAAUGAUCAAUGACCCAUUAUCCAUGAAGUAUCAGUAACGAUUUUAGUGUUGAAAUGAAAUACUACAAAGGAGCGCUUCACAUUUUGCAGUAGCACAGUUGGAACGAAGCACACACAUCCAGACAGGCCUGUAGCCAGAAACAUUUCAUUGGGGGAAGGCAAAUGGGUUAAGUGGUGGUGGUGGUUCAACACAAUUGUUUAUUUUAUUAUUUAUUUGAGCUUUGUUAUUUCUUGACCGAUUUUGUACUUGAGACUCAAGGUGUAAUUCAGUGUGAUUGAACAGCAUGCGGGAUCUAAUAAGCAAUUCAAUAGAGCUAGGACUAGAAAAAUUAGAAAAGUGCAAAAAAAAAAGAUUCAGACAUCUUAGAUCUCACACACACAGGGUUUUGUUUUGUUUUGUUUCUGCACUCCUGCAUUCCUGCUGGGUGACCUUGAGUUAGUCACAGUUCUUCGGAACUCUCACAGCCCCACCUACCUCACAAGGUGUCUGUUGUUGGGAGAGGAAGGGAAAGGAGCUUGUGGGGGUGUAAAUCCAAACUCUUCCUCUUAAUUAGGACAUUUCAACCCUGUCCACCACAGCUAAUUCUGUUCUUGCCAGUUGCGUAGAGAAUUCAUGUUAGGAAGAUUUAUGAGAGGAUCAACAGCUUUAUAACCUCAGCUCCUUCCCUUUUUUUACGGCAGAUAAUUUACACUUGAACGACUCCUGAUGAGUUUCACACCAACCCAGCGCUGACUGGAGGGGCAUGACAAAUGAUUGAUGGGCCCAGCCCCCUUUUGCACCGCCAUGGCUCUGGGUCUGCAGCCAGAUUGAGGACUAGGCAUUGGGGCAGAGGGUGAAGAUUGUAUCAGGAGCCCUUGGUCUUGUGGAAAGACAAUGAUGGGAACUGAAAAGCUUAUUUGGCAACAGAACCAAAUGACAGGUUCAGUGUGUCACGCUGUUUUGAAUAGAUGGAAAGCAGAUGAAGCCCCAAAAAAUGGGGGUGGGGGGAGGAGACUGGCAGGCGAUGCACCCUUACGCACGCCCCAUUGGCUACAAGAUGAAAUCGCCACAAACUCAUGAUCUCAUUUGAAUGCUGCUUAUAUUAGGUUUCUUCGAGUUUUUUAAAAUUCCCAUGGGACAUGUUUGCUGAAGACUGUGAUAUACUACAAAGCUAAACAAUUGUUCUUGCUGCAAAAACACUGACAGUAUCUGAAAUUCAUUAUGGAAUAAGCAUUGCCUGCAUACCUUGCUUUUGAACGUGCCACGUAAAAGGAGUGUUUCUGCUGAAAUUCUAAUUGCACAACAAACAGGCUUACAGGUCUGCAUCUGUAGCUUCUUCCUCUCUCGCAGGAAUGCUUAGGCUCUGUGGCUAGGGAGAGAACAAUCUACCAUGACAAAGAUAGGGUUUCUGUAACCCCCAAAAUACUUGCCCUUACUUCAGCUCUGCACAAAUGUGUGUUCUCUCCUUGCCUUCUUCCAAUCAAUAAUUAUCCCUGCCAUGUAGUUAGAUUAAAUGUAGAUUAAAUGUCAUAAAACACUGUUGAUGUUAUGGCAUUAUGUAUUGACAAUGCUAAUGUUAUGUAGUAUGUAUCGAUACAUUGGAAACGAAUGUUGUGAAUGUACUGAUAUAUUACUAUUUGGUAUUGUUUAUAUAUUGCUGUUCUGAUAUGCUGAUGACUAUGCUGUUAUUACUAUACUGUUAAUAUGCUGUUUGUGCUGUUAAUGCAUGAUCUAGUUUGAUGUAUGUUGUUGUGUAUUAAUAUAGUGCUGCUGUUAUUACGAUUAGUAUAUUGUUAGGUUUGUAGUGCUGUUGCCAUCUGAAAUUUGACUUUAUUUUAGUCUUAUGUAUUUAGCAGUCAUAAUGUUGUAAUGUAUUUUAUUUACUUAUGUUGUUAGCCGCCCUGAGCCCUUUGGAGAUAGGGCGGGGUACAAAUUAAGUUGGUGAUAAUGUUGAUGAUGAUAAAACCAUCUGUUUUCAGAAGAGA
Sphaerodactylus townsendi is the source of this 2278-nucleotide long non-coding RNA. RefSeq lists it as uncharacterized. Lineage: Eukaryota; Metazoa; Chordata; Lepidosauria; Squamata; Sphaerodactylidae. The transcript is spliced from 3 exons. The record is from RefSeq and is a predicted model, not a curated record.